This is a microRNA precursor of Astyanax mexicanus (Mexican tetra), 70 nucleotides long. It matches the Rfam family "miR-430 microRNA precursor family". The record is from Rfam. Lineage: Eukaryota; Metazoa; Chordata; Actinopteri; Characiformes; Acestrorhamphidae.
AUUGGUACUCUAACAACGGCACUGACCUUUCCAUAGUAAUUAGUAAGUGCUAUUUGUUGGGGUAGUUUGA